GAUGAACGCUGGCGGCGUGCCUAAUACAUGCAAGUCGAGCGAACAGACGAGGAGCAUGCUCCUCUGAUGUUAGCGGCGGACGGGUGAGUAACACGUGGAUAACCUACCUAUAAGACUGGGAUAACUUCGGGAAACCGGAGCUAAUACCGGAUAACAUGUUGAACCGCAUGGUUCAACAGUGAAAGACGGUCUUGCUGUCACUUAUAGAUGGAUCCGCGCCGCAUUAGCUAGUUGGUAAGGUAACGGCUUACCAAGGCAACGAUGCGUAGCCGACCUGAGAGGGUGAUCGGCCACACUGGAACUGAGACACGGUCCAGACUCCUACGGGAGGCAGCAGUAGGGAAUCUUCCGCAAUGGGCGAAAGCCUGACGGAGCAACGCCGCGUGAGUGAAGAAGGUCUUCGGAUCGUAAAACUCUGUUAUUAGGGAAGAACAAAUGUGUAAGUAACUAUGCACGUCUUGACGGUACCUAAUCAGAAAGCCACGGCUAACUACGUG
This 497-nucleotide ribosomal RNA is filed under the name uncultured bacterium. RNAcentral describes it as "partial 16S ribosomal RNA". It matches the Rfam family "Bacterial small subunit ribosomal RNA", at positions 28 to 507 of the family's 1533-position model. The record is from RNAcentral.